CAGAAAUCAGUUCUGGCCGCGCUCUACAGCUCCGAGGGCUCCGUCAUGGAGCGGCACCACUUUGCUCAGGCCAUCGCCAUCCUCAACAGCCAGGGAUGCAACAUCUUCGACCACUUCUCACGCAAGGAUUACCAGCGCAUGUUGGACCUGAUGCGUGACAUCAUCCUGGCCACGGACCUGGCCCAUCACCUGCGGAUCUUCAAGGACCUGCAGAAGAUGGCGGAAGGUGACGGGGGCUGAUGGCGGGUCCCCAUGUGA
Coturnix japonica (Japanese quail) is the source of this 258-nucleotide non-coding RNA. The record is from RefSeq and is a predicted model, not a curated record. Lineage: Eukaryota; Metazoa; Chordata; Aves; Galliformes; Phasianidae.